UUUUUUUUUUUUUAAACCUUUUACUCCAUCUAUAUAUACAUAUGACACCACACCCUUGGUGUGGCAAGAAACCACACUUAAGUGGUAAACUGUGACGUGGCGCUUACGUGACACUUACGUGGCGAGGGAGGGAGUGCGGUUUCGGUGGCACCACUCCCUCCAGCCUUAGAAUCAGGACCAAGGGUGAUGAUAAUUAGAUUCCUAGAUGUCAUCAUAGACCGUGUAAAUUCACUUUUUUUAUUGCAAGAGAAUUAUCCCCAAAAAUGACACGAGAUGUAGGCACAUGAUAAAAAUGCAAACUAUUAAAUUAAGGGGUAGGGAGAACAAAAAACGUGUUACAACAACAUCAAUUAAUUAAAUUAAGAGACUCACGGUGCUUAUACGAAAAAGAAGGCUGCCCCUUUCAGGCUUCCACCAGCGUGCUCCUCCAAAACUAGCGAUACCCACCUCUGAGCGAUACCUCUGGCCACUCCAUCAGCGUGCUUUUACCCUAACGCCUCCACUCCAGCGACUUCCUCCGCCACUCCAUCAGCGACUACCUCCGGCCACCAGACAUAAGCGCCGCCACCCCAGCGCCUAGCCGGGAUUCAGAGUUUCAGCUAUGGUUGCUGAUGAAACCAACCUCCAACGCCACCUCUCAACUUUCAAACGAGCAAUACCCACCUCCUCCAGCAUUGCCCCUUUGCUGACGACACCAACCUCCUCUUGAACAUAUACUAGUUCAUAAAUGAUAGAGAAUAAUCUUGUGAUCAGAGUUAUACAUCCCAAGAAUUUAUCAUUUGAUCAAUGUCACAUCUAAUAAGCAAAAGAUAUGUAUUUGCUAUUAUACACAUUAUGGCUGUUGUAGAACCUUUUCACAUUCUACAAUAUGAGUUUGACUUAAUAUAAUACUAUAUAUGGUCAGAUAAUGAGGUGAAAGGACUUCAAACUUUUUAUAAUCAUAAAAAAUAUCUAGAAAUCCAAUGACACAAUUUGACAUGUGGAUUUUUCUACUUGUAAAAUAUAGAAGGCAACUGACUCUUCCUUCUCAUCUAUUUUGUCCUUUAGUUUUGACAUACUUAUGUGGUUUGACUAUUACACAAUGAAUUAGAAAAUUGUAAAUAUAGAACAUGUUUUCUCAUUAUGAUGAAACAAAGAAAACAUGUUCUAUAUUGCAAGUUGCAUGAUUAAUAUACACAUGAAUCCAAGACAUGAGAAUGGUAUACACAAACAGAAAGAAGUUUGACAUGAUCAUUUGUGUUAAAAAAAAAUAGACUUAUUAGUACUUUGAUUGAAAGCUCAGUUGGAACUAUAAACAUACAUCGAAGCUCAUACUGUCAUAUGAAUUCAAUUUUAUACCACAGUUUCUAAGACUCAGAAAACAAAAACGAUUUUAUCUCGAUUUCAGAUAAUAACUCACCAAGAGGAGGUUGGUGUCGUCUGCGAAGGGGCAAUGCUGGAGGAGGUGGGUAUUGCUCGUUUGAAAGUUGAGAGGUGGCGUUGGAGGUUGGUUUCAUCAGCAACCAUAGCUGAAACUCUGAAUCCCUAAACCCAGAGACGAUCAUUAAGGCCCGUGCAAGUAGUAUGGGUAAACUAAGUGCCCUAGUUCAGCACCAGUUUUCCCGCAGGGCGCUUAUCACAGCUACUUGUGAAGUCGAUUGCAUGGAUCUAAACAAACGAUCGAGGUUUGGAUUAACAUUGGCAUUGGAUCCGUGAUUAUUCAGAAGUGUUGGGGAUGGGGGAUUGUGGCGGAGUGAUUGUUAACUUGUCCACAUCGACACUAAUUAAUGACAUAUUGGGAAGUUGGACUCACAUUGACACUAAUUAGUUUAUGAGUUGAUAUUGGGUUAUUGAAAUACAAUAUGGUCACAUGAAUAUGAUAGUUUAAAGUAAAUGCGUUUAAUGAUAAUUUCAUAUGAUUUUCUAACAA
Molecule: long non-coding RNA, 1909 nt
Organism: Lactuca sativa (garden lettuce)
Lineage: Eukaryota; Viridiplantae; Streptophyta; Magnoliopsida; Asterales; Asteraceae
Source: RefSeq, a predicted model, not a curated record